CGGAUAACGGGGAGGAAGGUGGGAUGACGUCAAGUCCGCAUGCUCCUUACGUCUAGGGCUACACACGUCCUACAAUGGGGUCGACAAUGGGAUGCAAUAUCGCAAGAUGGAGCCAAUCCCCAAACGGCCUCUCAGUUCGGAUUGUAGUCUGCAACUCGACUACAUGAAGUUGGAAUCGCUAGUAAUGGCAGAUCAGCAUGCCGCCGUGAAUACGUUCCCGGGUCCUU
This 227-nucleotide ribosomal RNA is filed under the name uncultured bacterium. Its description in RNAcentral is "partial 16S ribosomal RNA". It matches the Rfam family "Bacterial small subunit ribosomal RNA", at positions 1155 to 1382 of the family's 1533-position model. The record is from RNAcentral.